AGAGACGUCGGUCGCUUCCGGGAGAGUCCGCGUCUCCCGCACCUUCCUCUCUAUCAAACGCGGUCUCUGUGGUAGCCGGGGCCCCGCCCCUCCUCGGACUCUACCCAGUACUGAACUAGGGGCAGCUGGGCUCCAGAGUCCCUCGGGUCUCAGGUCAUGGCGGUCCCGGGGCCCGCGCCCGGAGCUGGCGCCAGGCCCAGGUUAGAUCUGCAAUUUCUCCAGCGGUUCCUGCAGAUACUGAAGGUUUUGUUUCCUUCUUGGUCAUCACAGAAUGCCUUGAUGUUCCUGACCCUUUUGUGCCUGACCCUACUGGAACAAUUUGUGAUCUACCGGGUUGGCUUGAUCCCCAGUCAGUACUAUGGGGUCCUGGGAAACAAAGACUUGGAAGGGUUUAAGACUCUGACAUUCCUGGCUGUCAUGCUCAUUGUUCUGAACUCCACGCUGAAGAGCUUUGAUCAGUUCACCUGCAACCUGCUGUAUGUGAGCUGGAGGAAGGACCUCACUGAGCACCUUCACCGCCUCUACUUCCGGGGCCGUGUGUACUACACCCUCAACGUGCUGCGGGAUGACAUCGAUAACCCGGACCAGCGCAUCAGCCAGGACGUGGAGCGAUUCUGCCGGCAGCUCAGCAGCAUGGCCAGCAAGCUGAUCAUCUCCCCGUUCACCCUCGUCUACUACACUUACCAGUGCUUCCAAAGCACAGGCUGGCUCGGGCCUGUGAGCAUCUUCGGGUAUUUCAUCCUGGGGACCGUGGUGAACAAAACUUUGAUGGGCCCCAUUGUGACGAAGCUGGUGCAUCAGGAGAAGCUGGAGGGAGAUUUUAGGUUCAAGCACAUGCAGAUUCGGGUGAAUGCGGAGCCUGCUGCUUUCUACAGAGCUGGGCAUGUGGAGCACAUGCGGACAGACCGCAGGCUGCAGAGACUCCUUCAGACCCAGAGGGAACUGAUGUCCAAGGAGCUCUGGCUGUACAUCGGCAUCAACACCUUUGACUAUCUGGGCAGCAUCCUGAGUUACGUUGUCAUCGCAAUCCCCAUUUUCAGCGGGGUCUAUGGAGACCUGAGUCCCGCAGAGCUUAGCACCCUGGUCAGCAAGAAUGCCUUUGUGUGCAUCUACCUCAUCAGCUGCUUCACCCAGCUCAUCGACCUGUCCACGACGCUCUCAGAUGUGGCUGGCUACACGCACAGAAUUGGGCAGCUUCGGGAGACGCUUCUGGACAUGUCCCCGAAGUCACAGGACUGCGAGAUCCUGGGCGAGAGCGAGUGGGGCUUGGACACACCCCCAGGGUGGCCAGUGGCAGAGCCAGCAGACACAGCAUUUCUCCUUGAGCGGGUCUCCAUCUCUGCCCCCUCCUCUGACAAACCCCUAAUCAAGGAUCUGAGCCUAAAGAUCUCCGAGGGACAGAGCCUGCUCAUCACAGGCAACACGGGCACUGGCAAGACCUCCUUGCUCCGGGUUCUGGGUGGCCUCUGGACGAGUACACGGGGCUCAGUGCAGAUGCUGACGGACUUUGGGCCCCAUGGGGUGCUAUUCCUGCCACAAAAGCCGUUCUUCACUGACGGGACCCUUCGGGAGCAGGUGAUAUAUCCCCUGAAGGAGGUCUACCCCGACUCAGGAGAGAUGCCCAUUGGGACAAGGAAAGUGAUGCCUUCCUUCACCCACCCCUUCCCUUAUGAAGAUCUGCAACCUGUGGUUUCAAAGCCUUCGCCCAGCAUUCUGGGGCCCCCCACCCCUGCCAUCAUCCAUGAUGUGCCCUGUCUAUUCUUUUUUUUUUUUUUUUUUUUGAGAUGGAGUUUCACUCUGUCACCCAGACUGGAGUGCAGUGGUGUGAUCUCGGCUCACUGCAACCUCCACCUCCCAGGUUCAAGCAAUUCCCCUGCCUCAGCCUCUUCCGUAGCUGGGGCUACAGGUGCACGCCACCAAGCCUGCCUAAUUUUUGUAUAUUUAGUAGAGACAGGGUUUCACCAUGUUGGCCAGGGUGGUCUCCAUCUCCUGACCUUGUGAUCCACCUGCCUCGGCCUCCCAAAGUGUUGGGAUUACAGGCGUGAGCCACUGUGCACAGCCUUGCCCUGUCUAUUUUGACCAGCCAGGAGGCUCUGGCUUUUUGCAGAAGGCUUCUUUGUUGUGCAGGUUCUGCCGAUGAUGAGAGGAUCUUGAGGUUCUUGGAAUUGGCAGGCCUGUCCAACUUGGUGGCAAGGACAGAGGGUCUGGACCAGCAGGUGGACUGGAACUGGUAUGAUGUUCUGUCCCCGGGGGAGAUGCAACGGCUCUCCUUUGCCCGACUCUUCUACCUGCAGCCGAAGUACGCAGUGCUUGAUGAAGCCACCAGUGCCCUGACAGAGGAAGUGGAGAGCGAGCUCUAUCGCAUCGGCCAGCAGCUGGGGAUGACGUUCAUCAGUGUGGGACAUCGGCAGAGCCUUGAGAAGUUUCAUUCCUUGGUUCUGAAACUCUGUGGAGGAGGAAGAUGGGAGCUGAUGAGAAUCAAAGUGGAAUGAAGCUCUGGCUUUUGGAAGGAGAGCCACACUGUGGCGGGUCGGCGGCCCUCAGGAGAGACCAGGAGGACUGACAGCGAAGGUCGAGCUCAGGUUCGCCACAUAGAUCCCGUGCAGGAGCCACAUGGGUCCUGUGCAGGACCCCUAGCAGUGGUGGGCUGAGCCCAGGUCUAGGUUUCUGUGGGGGACACUGAAUCUCCCAGUGUUCAGUCUCCCAGGACUCUGCUGCCUCAGCCAGAGCCUCCAUAUGCUUGAAGUGCUGAUUACCUACAAAUGAUUUCAGAUCAUGUUUGCUAAAGAGAAAUCUGGAAGUGUGAGAUCUGUAAGAAAUGAAAGGUCAGGGUGGAAAGAGAUGUUCUUGGAGUCAAGAGAUCUGGAAAUCUUUUAAUCAGUUAAAUUGUGCAGCAAUAGAUUUUUAACUUUAACUGACCAUUUAAGUUUUUUAAUAAGUUUUUUACAAAGAAAAGUUAAACAUUAAAAAGAAUUACAGCUUUC
Molecule: RNA transcript, 2984 nt
Organism: Pan troglodytes (chimpanzee)
Lineage: Eukaryota; Metazoa; Chordata; Mammalia; Primates; Hominidae
Gene: ABCD4
Gene name: ATP binding cassette subfamily D member 4
Exons: 19
Source: RefSeq, a predicted model, not a curated record